Long non-coding RNA from Oreochromis aureus, 885 nucleotides. The record is from Ensembl. Lineage: Eukaryota; Metazoa; Chordata; Actinopteri; Cichliformes; Cichlidae.
UGCUGAUGGAGCUCUGGUGUGUGGGUCUCCCCUGCAGCCACGCCACAAACCACGUCCGCCACAAAGUGAUAGCGAGUUUCCUUCAAAAAAUGUCUGGACUCACAAAUACAGAUGGAUGAUGACUUAUGUCAUGUGCAAGGCACUCACAACCAGUGUUGGAAUAACUGAGGAGGUGGGUGGAGGAGAUCUGGGUGUCUCUUCAUAGCGGUCAUGGUCCGUGAGAGUUCCUGGGAGUUUCCAUCUGUGGCUGCUGGUCCCUUUGGGGUGGAGCCUUCCACAUCUCACCUGGACCGUGUUUGCAUGCAGUCAGCAGGAGGGCUCUUAAACCCUGAGCAGUCUACUAUGCCUCGCCAACUCAUUGUGUGCCCUCUGGUGAGGUUGACGUGGCUCGUUCCGCUUGGAGUGUUUUCACCUACCUGCUCUGGUGACCCUCGGCUGCUUCUCCUGCCCGAUUGCCUGCCCGCAGCCUGCCCCGCCUCAGAGCUCUUUGUGUCGGACCUAUUAAACCCUCCAUGGUUCCUCGGUCCCCGUUGGUUCGUCAGUUCCAGACUGACCCACUUUUAAUGGGGUGGAUCAUCACUGUCAAGGGAGGACUGAGACAGGGAGAAAGUGUUAAGUUUUCUCAACAUUUAGUUACCACAUGUUGCUUCCUUGGGUGUUACUGUCAGUGCAAAGUUCUACUGCAACGUGGUCACAGGUGCACAAGGAAAAAUAUUUGGGGGAAAUUAGCUAAACUGGGGACGGGCAUUGCAAAUGAUUCCAGGCUAUAAAUACUGUGGUGUGUUGCCUGCUUCAUGAAACAUAGAAAUAAACCUAACUAAACUGCAAUGUGUGUCAGCCUGUUCUCUAGUGCCAGCUCAGAGCACAUUAAGCAUUUUUGGCUGC